This 865-nucleotide long non-coding RNA is filed under the name Equus caballus (horse). RNAcentral describes it as "lncRNA (ENSECAG00000047411.1)". Lineage: Eukaryota; Metazoa; Chordata; Mammalia; Perissodactyla; Equidae. The record is from RNAcentral.
AAGGCGCUGGGGACCCGCGGCUUCUUUCAGGCAGGGUGGCUCUGUUUCCUGCCCCGUCUCCCUUGGUAACUGGGGGUCCACCUCUACCGGGGGAUUAAACAAAAGAAAUCUUUGUAGUCCACCUCAGUGGAGGCAGAGGGAACUGACGCACUUUUGGUGAUCAAAUAUUUCUCACCCACCUUCCCUGUUAAAUGGAGAAUCUCUGGAGUCUGGCUGCCUCCUAGGGGUACCUGGGCUCCCUGCCCCACUCACGCUGCCGGCUUCACUGGUGAGCUCACCUAGCCGGGCCACUGGUGCUGGUUCUCUGUUCCUACACGGUGGCUUCCGCAGACACACGUCCUGGGCUUCUACGGCUGCCCAGAGAAUCUUAAAUCGAAACAAAAACCCCCAAGCUAAUUCCCGUCCUGGAAUCUGCUUGGUGCCUCAACUUCCUUGUAGGUCCGCCGUGUGCUGAGGAAUCACUUCGGAAUGCUUGCUAGAAGAAAGACUCCUGAGUGCGACUUCACCGAAUCAGAAGGCUGAAGAUAGGGCCCUGAAGCUGCAUUUACACCCGCCCCUCCCCCCAGGGCAAUUCUGAGGUUGGCAGGCUCGCACCCUAGUUGGAGAAGUACUGCUUAAUAAGAGAUAAUGACCUGGCCCAGCCAUAGGUCAGGCGAGCCAUCCAAGAGCUAACAAGCAACCCGCGUGAAAGCGCCUUGUGAAUCUGAGAACAAACCAAUUCUUUGCAAAGACUAGUAAACCAACAAUCCAAAUAAUAUCCAAAAAAAUCUAAGUAAUAAUAAUAGUAAAAGAACUGGGGAGCGCACUGCGAACACGGUGCAGUCCACCCCGGCGCAGUCGGUGCGACUGUCUCUUUAAGGCUCCC